Long non-coding RNA from Trichosurus vulpecula (common brushtail), 270 nucleotides. RefSeq lists it as uncharacterized. The transcript has 3 exons. The record is from RefSeq and is a predicted model, not a curated record. NCBI's taxonomy places the organism in Eukaryota, Metazoa, Chordata, Mammalia, Diprotodontia, Phalangeridae.
AGGAAGGGAAGGAGGCGGCGGUCUAGGGUGGCAGGGCAGACUGGGGCAGGGGCGAGAAGGCCCGGUUGAGGGUAGAGGACUCCGGAGUCCUGGCCUGGAAACAGCAGGCUCCGGGGAGCCCUGGCGGUGGCUGCAUCUGGGGACCGAGGAGUAAGAGGAGGCAGCAGCUAAUGCUGCGAGGAGGAGCAGGGGCCAAUGCUGCGCCUGGAGGAAGGGAGGUUGCGGAUGGAGGAGCCCCCGGAACCGGAGAGGGAAGAGAGGCUGCUGGCG